UACGGAGGGACCAAGCGUUGUUCGGAAUUACUGGGCGUAAAGGGCUCGUAGGCGGCCAACUAAGUCGGAUGUGAAAUCCCCAGGCUUAACCUGGGAAUUGCAUUCGAAACUGCGAGGCUAGGGUACGGAAGAGGGAAGCGGAAUUUCUGGUGUAGCGGUGAAAUGCGUAGAUAUCAGAAGGAACACCAGUGGCGAAAGCGGCUUCCUGGUCCAGUACUGACGUUCAGGCACGAAAGCGUGGGGAGCAAACAGG
Molecule: ribosomal RNA, 253 nt
Filed under: uncultured bacterium
Lineage: Bacteria
Description: partial 16S ribosomal RNA
Rfam family: Bacterial small subunit ribosomal RNA
Source: RNAcentral